AAAAAUUUGAGAGAGAGUCAAGAGUACGUGAACUGCUCAGAGUAAACGGUGGCCCUCGAAUCCCGCCUCGGGGGGAUUCAGUCGGGAGCGCGCGGGGAUGCAACCGCGGCCGUCAGGCUCAACCGACCUUCGACGGAAGGUGGGGCCGCGGUCUUGGUUCCCGUCUCGCCCGACGCAAUUCCCCCCGUGCAGAGGACGCCGCAGCCGGUUCGGAGUCGGCCAUGAGGGAGGUCGACGGCAGGUGGCCGGGUUCGGCUCCAGCGAGCCGUUCCCCGGUCGUUAGCCAGGCUUCCCGGGGCGCGACGCCGGACCGAGGUGUAAAGUCUCCUUGCCCAGGGGAGACUAGCCGUCCCCUCCAUAUAGGGGCGCGCGCGGUACGCAGGUGCGGCGACGGCGAAAGUGCGGAACCACUCGCGACAGUGGUCCGCCACCGUCGCACCUCGUUGGCGAAUGGCGACGCGCGGAGGGGUAGACGGCUGGCGGCGAGUAGGUCGGUCACCCACCCGACCCGUCUUGAAACACGGACCAAGGAGUCUAACAUGUGCGCGAGUCGCAGGAUCUUGAACAGGUCCUGGGGCGGAGUGAGAGCGAAGGGGAUCCGAAAGAGGUCCCCGACUGUUGGGACCCGCGCGGACUUCCGCGCGGUGCACCAACGACGCGCCCCUCUCCGGCCUCGGUCGGUGGGGCGCAGUCGGAGCGUACACGUUGGGACCCGAAAGAUGGUGAACUAUGCCCGGACAGGACGAGGCCAGAGGAAACUCUGGUGGAUGUCCGCAGCGGUUCUGACAUGCAAUCGAUCGUCGGAUCCGGU
RNAcentral lists this ribosomal RNA (811 nucleotides) under Crossopriza pristina. Its description in RNAcentral is "partial 28S ribosomal RNA". The stretch from base 525 to 811 matches the Rfam family "Eukaryotic large subunit ribosomal RNA", at positions 665 to 915 of the family's 3401-position model. The record is from RNAcentral. Lineage: Eukaryota; Metazoa; Arthropoda; Arachnida; Araneae; Pholcidae.